RNAcentral lists this ribosomal RNA (492 nucleotides) under uncultured bacterium. RNAcentral describes it as "partial 16S ribosomal RNA". It matches the Rfam family "Bacterial small subunit ribosomal RNA", at positions 29 to 507 of the family's 1533-position model. The record is from RNAcentral.
AGUGAACGCUGGCGGUAGGCCUAACACAUGCAAGUCGAACGGCAGCACAGUAAGAGCUUGCUCUUACGGGUGUCGAGUGGCGGACGGGUGAGGAAUACAUCGGAAUCUACUUUUUCGUGGGUGAUAACGUAGGGAAACUUACGCUAAUACCGCAUACGACCUACGGGGGAAAGCAGGGGAUCUUCGGACCUUGCGCGAUUGAAUGAGCCGAUGUCGGAUUAGCUAGUUGGCGGGGUAAAGGCCCACCAAGGCGACGAUCCGUAGCUGGUCCGAGAGGAUGAUUAGAUACACUGGAACUGAGACACGGUCCAGACUCCUACGGUGGGCAGCAGUGGGGAAUAUUGGACAAUGGGGGAAAGCGGGAUCCAGCAAUACCGCGUGGGGGAAGAAGGACUUCGGGUUGUAAAGCCCUGUUGUUGGUAAAGAAAAGCAGCAGGUUAAUACCCCGCUGUUCUGACGGUACCCAAAGAAUAAGCACCGGCUAACUUCGUG